AAUAGAUACCCAGGUAGUCCGCGCCGUAAACGAUGGAUACUAGCUGUUUGAGCGCAAGUUUGAGUGGCUAAGCGAAAGUGAUAAGUAUCCCACCUGGGGAGUACGGGCGCAAGCCUGAAACUCAAAGGAAUUGACGGGGGCCCGCACAAGCGGUGGAGCAUGUGGUUUAAUUCGAUGAUACGCGAGGAACCUUACCAGGGCUUAAAUGUAGAUUGACGUAUUUGGAAGCAGAUAUUUCUUCGGACAAUUUACAAGGUGCUGCAUGGUUGUCGCCAGCUCGUGCCGUGAGGUGUCAGGUUAAGUCCUAUAACGAGCGCAACCCCUGUUGUUAGUUGCCAGCGAGUAAUGUCGGGAACUCUAGCAAGACUGCCAGUGUAAACUGUGAGGAAGGUGGGGAUGACGUCAAAUCAUCACGGCCCUUACGUCCUGGGCCACACACGUGCUACAAUGGCCGGUACAGAGAGCAGCCACUUAGCGAUAAGGAGCGAAUCUAUAAAGCCGGUCACAGUUCGGAUCGGAGU
RNAcentral lists this ribosomal RNA (521 nucleotides) under uncultured bacterium. RNAcentral's name for it is "bacterial SSU rRNA". It matches the Rfam family "Bacterial small subunit ribosomal RNA", at positions 777 to 1304 of the family's 1533-position model. The record is from RNAcentral.